Molecule: ribosomal RNA, 253 nt
Filed under: uncultured bacterium
Lineage: Bacteria
Description: partial 16S ribosomal RNA
Rfam family: Bacterial small subunit ribosomal RNA
Source: RNAcentral
UACGGAGGGUGCGAGCGUUAAUCGGAAUUACUGGGCGUAAAGCGUGCGUAGGCGGUUGAGUCAGUCAGAUGUGAAAGCCCUGGGCUUAACCUGGGAACUGCAUCUGAUACUGCUUAGCUAGAGUCUGGUAGAGGGUAGCGGAAUUCCCGGUGUAGCGGUGAAAUGCAUAGAUAUCGGGAGGAACAUCAGUGGCGAAGGCGGCUACCUGGCCCAAGACUGACGCUGAGGCACGAAAGCGUGGGGAGCAAACAGG